Molecule: small RNA, 343 nt
Filed under: Pongo abelii (Sumatran orangutan)
Lineage: Eukaryota; Metazoa; Chordata; Mammalia; Primates; Hominidae
Description: processed transcript
Source: RNAcentral
AGGGGCCUGAGCAUCACGCGUGAGGGGCGGGGCCCAGUUUGAACCUCAGCGCCGAAAGGCUUAAAUUUCUGCUGUGAGGGUUAGAGGUUCUGGCCUCGGUUAUGAGCCCCAGCAGCGCUGGUGACUGACCUGGGCACUGCGGAGCUGGCGCGCUGUGGAGGCCGUGAGGCGCUGCUGUUCCGGGAAAACACAUUGGCCACCAAGGCUAUCGAUGAGUACAUGAAGCUCGUGGCACAGGAUUACCUCCAGGAGACCCUGGGACAGGUUGUGCGGCGUCUCUGUGCUUCUACUGAGGACUGUGAAGUGGACCCCAGCAAGUGUCCAGCCUCGGAGCUGCCAGAGC